UACGUAGGGUGCAAGCGUUAAUCGGAAUUACUGGGCGUAAAGCGUGCGCAGGCGGCUUUGCAAGACAGAUGUGAAAUCCCCAGGCUUAACCUGGGAACUGCAUCCGAUACUGGAUGGCUUGAAUCCGGGAGAGGGAUGCAGAAUUCCAGGUGUAGCGGUGAAAUGCGUAGAUAUCUGGAGGAAUACCGGUGGCGAAGGCGGCAUCCUGGACCGGCAUUGACGCUGAUGAGCGAAAGCUAGGGGAGCAAACGGG
This 253-nucleotide ribosomal RNA is filed under the name uncultured bacterium. RNAcentral's name for it is "partial 16S ribosomal RNA". It matches the Rfam family "Bacterial small subunit ribosomal RNA", at positions 524 to 776 of the family's 1533-position model. The record is from RNAcentral.